GCUUCAAUACUGCCCAUACCCCUAUAUUUUUUUAAUCUUACACCAUCAGAAAAGUAAUAUUCGCCGGGUGCUUCGGAGGUACCGGCCAGCAUCGACCCCAUCAUCACUACAAACAAACAACAAUGUUAAAAAAAUUACCUACACUUGUUCCAGUGGAAGACAGAGAAUUGGUUUUCCCCUUAAAAAAAGUCAACAACUCUGCUUUAUCCAAUAGCUUUGGUUCUGUCUUAGUGUAAUUCUUUACUAAUUAUUAUUAGUGUAUUAGUGUGGUUUUUCAAUAAAUUUUUGAUAGAAAA
Long non-coding RNA from Tribolium castaneum (red flour beetle), 296 nucleotides. RefSeq lists it as uncharacterized. The transcript is spliced from 2 exons. The record is from RefSeq and is a predicted model, not a curated record. NCBI's taxonomy places the organism in Eukaryota, Metazoa, Arthropoda, Insecta, Coleoptera, Tenebrionidae.